This 253-nucleotide ribosomal RNA is filed under the name uncultured bacterium. Its description in RNAcentral is "partial 16S ribosomal RNA". It matches the Rfam family "Bacterial small subunit ribosomal RNA", at positions 524 to 776 of the family's 1533-position model. The record is from RNAcentral.
AACGUAGGAGAUGAGCGUUAUCCGGAUUUACUGGGCGUAAAGAGUGUGUAGGCGGUGCUCCCAGUCUGUUGUGAAAUCUCCCGGCUUAACUGGGAGGGUGCAGCGGAAACUAGAGUGCUAGAGGGUGGGAGAGGUAAGCGGAAUUCCUGGUGUAGCGGUGAAAUGCGUAGAUAUCAGGAGGAACACCUGUGGUGUAGACAGCUUACUGGACCACUUCUGACGCUGAGACACGAAAGCGUGGGUAGCAAACAGG